UCCGGAGGGUGCAACCGUUGCUCGGAAUCAUUGGGCGUAAAGCGCACGUAGGCGGCUUGUUAAGUCGGAUGUGAAAGCCCCAGGCUCAACCUGGGAAGUGCAUUCGAAACUGGCGAGCUUGAAUAUGGAAGAGGGUCGCGGAAUUCCCGGUGUAGAGGUGAAAUUCGUAGAUAUCGGGAGGAACACCAGUGGCGAAGGCGGCGACCUGGGCCAAUAUUGACGCUGAGGUGCGAAAGCGUGGGGAGCAAACAGG
This 253-nucleotide ribosomal RNA is filed under the name uncultured bacterium. Its description in RNAcentral is "partial 16S ribosomal RNA". It matches the Rfam family "Bacterial small subunit ribosomal RNA", at positions 524 to 776 of the family's 1533-position model. The record is from RNAcentral.